This 465-nucleotide unclassified non-coding RNA is filed under the name uncultured fungus. Its description in RNAcentral is "sequence contains ITS2". The stretch from base 1 to 154 matches the Rfam family "5.8S ribosomal RNA". The record is from RNAcentral. Lineage: Eukaryota; Fungi.
AACUUUCAGCAACGGAUCUCUUGGCUCUCGCAUCGAUGAAGAACGCAGCGAAAUGCGAUACGUAAUGUGAAUUGCAGAAUUCAGUGAAUUAUCGAAUCUUUGAACGCAUAUUGCGCUCUUUGGUAUUCCGAAGAGCAUGCUUGUUUGAGUAUCAGUAAACACCUCAACACUCUCGAUUUGUUUCGAAUGAGUCUUGGAUGUGAGCAAACCCAACGCCUGUCUGCUAGCCAGCCUUACGGCCGGUGUCAUGAAACACAAGUGCAGCUGAGGUUUAUUCUGAGCUAAUCGCAUAUUUAAUUAGCCCCGUAAAAAGGAUUAUUAAUCUGCUGAAGCAGACACCAAAGGAAGUGUCCUCUGGCUGACGGAUGCAGAAUUUCGCCAAGCUGGUAAAACUGCCGUGUAAAACUCGAUCCCAAAUCAAUUAAGAAGACCAGUUGAACAUUACCAAAUCAUUAAGCGGAGGCU